This 764-nucleotide unclassified non-coding RNA is filed under the name Hevea brasiliensis (rubber tree). The record is from RNAcentral. Lineage: Eukaryota; Viridiplantae; Streptophyta; Magnoliopsida; Malpighiales; Euphorbiaceae.
GGGUUAGGUUGUUGUGUGGAUGGAAUUUAUUGUCUUCCUCCUUGGAAGUGGUAGAAAUUCCAGCAACAUAUUAAUCAUGCCCAGUCAGUGGUUAUCCACUGACAGUAAACUUGCAUUCCUCAACCAAACAUAUGAGCAGAGACAAUAAUCAUAGCUUUCUGCUCUUAGACUUUUUUUUAUAUGUAAAAAUUGCAUGAUAAUUCUUAUUUUCUUGGCUAAAGAUGCGUCAUCUAUGAAAUGUUGUCAUCAGUCAUCAUAGGCAUAGGUAUAAAGGCUAUUGAGAUACUUGAAUUCCAUAUCAUUUGCACAAUUCUUUUGAUGUGAGAUAAACGAACAAGUAAGUUACUGCCAUAAAAACUGCGAACUUUUAAUGUGUAUUGAAAUAGACUUCAUCAAGACAAGGAUCUUCUUUUCAUUCUUUUGGAGCUAAGUGUAGCCAGUGAAAAUUUAAUAUGAUGAAAAAUAUUUGUCUUUCAUUGCAAUAGUAGUUACAAAUUUGUUUUGAUGAGAUUGGUUAUGCAAAGGUUCAAAAAGUAAGAUGAUCAUUGUUUAUUCCAUUAUUUGGUCUAAAUGAGAAUAAUUUAUUUAUUGCAUCUAAUUAUAUGUUGGAAAUCCCAAUUUCUUGCUGUCAAUUUUGGGAAAGGUUUGAACGGGACUGGUAACGAAGCAUGAGAUUAUCAUUAUUAACAUCUUUUUAUUUGUUUUGUGUUUCUCAUUGUUCAAUUAAAAACUUAGUUUUAACAUUAGAAAAUUGUUGUCUUUGC